GAUCUCGUAGCUCAGUUGGAUAGAGCGAUGGAUUCCUAAUCCGUAGGUCAUAGGUUCGAACCCUAUCGAGAUCA
Molecule: transfer RNA, 74 nt
Filed under: Candidatus Xenolissoclinum pacificiensis L6
Lineage: Bacteria; Pseudomonadati; Pseudomonadota; Alphaproteobacteria; Rickettsiales; Anaplasmataceae
Rfam family: tRNA
About the family: Transfer RNA (tRNA) molecules are approximately 80 nucleotides in length. Their secondary structure includes four short double-helical elements and three loops (D, anti-codon, and T loops).
Source: Rfam by way of RNAcentral